Molecule: unclassified non-coding RNA, 243 nt
Filed under: uncultured Scytalidium
Lineage: Eukaryota; Fungi; Ascomycota
Description: sequence contains ITS2
Rfam family: 5.8S ribosomal RNA (bases 1-52)
Source: RNAcentral
AACGCACAUUGCGCCCCUUGGUAUUCCGAGGGGCAUGCCUGUUCGAGCGUCAUUUCAACCCUCAAGCUCUGCUUGGUCUUGGGCCUGGCCGUGAUGGCCGGUCUUAAAAUCAGUGGCGGUGCCGUCGCAGGCUCCAAGCGUAGUACAUCUCUCGCUCUGGAAACCUGGCGGUGCCUGCCAGACAACCCCUAAUUGUCUCUUUCGGUUGACCUCGGAUCAGGUAGGGAUACCCGCUGAACUUAA